GCAGUGUUCCGGCUCUAUCGCUGGCGCCGCAUUGGCGCGAGAGGAAAGUCCGGGCAGCACAGGGUGCUCCACUUGCGAAAAUACAAGCUACCGGCGACGGUAGGUGAAAGGCAGAAGAAAAUAACCGCCUCUUUUCGGGAGGUAAGGGUGAGAAGGUGGUGUAAGAGACCACCGGCCGGCCGGUGACGGUCGGGCUGUGCCUGCUGGAGGCUGCAAGUUCAAGUAAACCAUCGUCAUGACAGGGCUACCCGCCCGACAGGCUUCGCCUCACGAUGGAGGGUAGAACGCUAAGCUGCGAAGCAAAACCCGCAUGGUGACAUACGGGGUAGAUAAAUGAUAGGGCACCCCUUUGGCUCCGAGAGGGCUGUUGGGGACACAGAACCCGGCUUACAGGAGCACUGCCUUC
This 406-nucleotide RNase P RNA is filed under the name Prevotella sp. RNAcentral's name for it is "RNase P RNA component class A". It matches the Rfam family "Bacterial RNase P class A". From Rfam's summary of the family: Ribonuclease P (RNase P) is a ubiquitous endoribonuclease, found in archaea, bacteria and eukarya as well as chloroplasts and mitochondria. Its best characterised activity is the generation of mature 5'-ends of tRNAs by cleaving the 5'-leader elements of precursor-tRNAs. Lineage: Bacteria; Pseudomonadati; Bacteroidota; Bacteroidia; Bacteroidales; Prevotellaceae. The record is from RNAcentral.